CGCCCCUUUCUGGGCCUGGCCCGGCCGGGGGGCCGUGGAUGCUCCGGGGAUGCCCCAUGGAUGCCCCGUGGAUUUUGGUUUCCUAGGGAGGAACAGUUCUACACAGUACUUGCAUUUCCUAUGGGUGCUAUUGAAAGCACUUGGUCAGUACGUCUUUCACAGAAAAAACGUUCCAAGUAAACAUGAGUCUUCACUGCAAAGCCUUCUUCCAGAAUUUGCAAGGGAUUAAACAGAGUUUGCAGUAAUAGCUAUCUGAUAUUUAACUUUCUUUUGCAAGAGGCAGAAGGCAGGAAUGGAAAGCAUGGCCUUUACAACAACAAUGUCCUUCACAGAGGGGCUGGAUUGCAGCACCUGCAAUCCUGAGCUGAGGUGCAGACGAUGCUUCUGCGAUGACGCUUUCUGUGAAGCAGCCCUGGAGCCCUGAGCAGUGGGAACUGCUCAGCGAGUUCUGCUGACUCACAGUGCCACAGCAAAUGCGGCUUUAGAACUUCAGCAGAGUAUUGGAGAAUUGGUAGAAGUAUCCAUGCUAAGGAAAGAAGGGUGAAAGCCCUAAGAAAUAUGAAAGGGGUAAUUGAUUUAGGGAGUUGGUAGAAAGCAUUUUACAUUCCUGUCAUUGCUCACAUGAACAGUGCAGUCAUCUUGACCCAAGGGUAUAUUGGCAAACAGGCAAGGAAUGGAACCACCUGCAAACAGCUCAUACCAAUGGAUUUUGAAAAUUUAUAUCAUAGUAUUUUUCUCCAUUUGUGGUUGCUUUGAGGAAUAAAUAUCUUUCUUUUUCUCCUUCAUCUUAUUUGCCACUGCUAUGUUCUAACCUUUAUUUUACAGAACACUUUUUAUCUUAAUCAUAUUCACCCAUUUUUUCAGUUUAUUAAUUAAUGUAAUUAGAAUUAGUAAAUCUAUUUCAAUAGCAUGAUUCCUGUUGCAGAAUGUUUCACUGAUAUUUAAACAUUUUUGGUAAUUUUGGAAAAAAUUGUAACUCAAAAAUAUAAUACUUUAUCAAACAUUAUCAUAUUAAUAUAAGAAUCCUGAAACAAAUUUACUUGGGUUUCUUGUUAUGAAGUGUUUUGUCUUGCCAAUACCAGUGCUUUAUUUCAGCUAUCAUUUCACUGGAUUCAUUUUAGACUUUAUUAAAAUUUGCAUCAAUAUAUUAAGCUCAAAAUUUAUAUUUGUAUCAGAAUAGAAUAUGAAUGUAUUGAAACAUGAAAUUAUUGAAGCCAACUUUCAAAAUUAUUUAUUUCUGAAUGUUUUUGUAAGAAAUAUUAUGGCUUCAGACCAAUCUAAAACACAGUCUGCAGAAAUAUUUAUGUAUUUUUUUUCCUGAUGGGGGAGAGCAGGUUUUUAGAGGUGUUGUGCAUUCCUAGCUCCUGUGGAAAUGAAGCACAUGCACUAAAAAGGAGGAAUUUGCUUUGCUGCAAUACAGACAAACUUGUAUGACAUAUAUCAAAGACCAGGUUCAGUCUUAGGAAGGAGAAAGCUGGUAAAUGCCUUAAUUUUAAAUUAUACUUUUUGAAUCUUAACCCUUGAACAGCUGCAGAUGUGGGAAACAUUUCACCUGAUGUGCCUCUGUACUGCAUCUUGCUGUUCAGUGGUGCUAAAUAAAUUACAAUCCUCUGUUUACAUUGCAGAGCUUGUUCAGGCAAUGCCAAACCUGCGACCACAGGAAGCCCCAGGGUAAUAUUUAUGCAAUUCCUGAUCAGGAGCAAGCUGACUAUUCCUGUUACAGUGGCCCAACUCCGUAAGCUGCAGCUCAUGAGCUGCUUCAUGCUAAUUAAAGGGGUGAGGGUUGAUUAGGAUCUUGAGCCCUCCAGCAAUCAGAAAUAUCUUCCUCUUCAUCUAAGCUUCAGCUACAGGCCAAAGCAGGUUUCCCUUGUUUAGCUGGAACCUCUCACACCUUGUCUUCUAACCCUUUCAACAAAUACAGGGCUCUGACCAAGCUGGAUAGUUGCAAUGUGGCACAAGUUAGUAAAAUUCCAUAGAAAAUCAUUUUAGAAUGAGACAUCUCCACUUAAUUAGUUAUCAAAGUAUAUUUUCUCAAUAUUUUUUGAAUUAUUUUUUCAGCGCCCAGCAGAAGUCACAAUAGGAUCUUUUGCAAUGAGCAGAAAGAAGGUGGUGAAGUGAUUUACAUUGCCUGCAGUUUAGUUUUUACUUUUAUUUGCAUUUUUUAUUAUUACAAGAUAGCUCUUACUGUGCUGUGGAUGGGCAGGAGGGUGGGCUGAGCCUUCUGUAUAGAACAGGUCUCCCCUUUCUCCAGUCAGUCAAACCACCAAGUCAGACCAUGUGCUAGCACAGCACUGCUGGAAUGAGGUUGUAGGUAGGAGGGAAUACACAGCAAACUCUGCAUGUGCUGCACUGCAGCUUCCUUCUGGGCCCUGAGAGAGACACUAAGAGUAGUCCAGGUGCUGCACAGCCUGUGGAACUUGUCAUCACCAGUGAGGCAGCCAGAGAGAAAUGUAUGAGAAGCAUGGUGGGCUGCCAUUUCCUCAGGUCUCUGCUACAUCUACAACUGAUUAAUCAUUGCAAGAUUCACCAAAGGACAGACAGGACUUCUUUCCACAGUGGUUCACUAGAGGAUGUGUGUGACAGAAGCUGAGUUUCUACAAUUUAUGGUUGUUUUUUGCCUAAUUUCUGGCAAAACACAUACCUGCAGCUAUUGUUUAGAAACUUUUCUGAAUGUGGUCUUGGCCAGCAGUUUUUAAGUGAUAAAUCAGUGAAGGUUAGUCCUGGGGGUGAAAGCUCAUUUCUGAUGUCUGAAUUCAAACACACCACGGCUAUCCCUUGCCAAGGGCCAUGCAACACCUGCCCAUUGCAGGGCUCUGGUCAUGGCUCCCAGGAGGGACCCCCUCUAGCUGCCACACCCCUCCUUCACAACAGUCCAUGUGCUUUUGUGGCUGUGCAAGAACAGAAUAAGGGAGCCAGGAACUUAGAUGGACUUAAACCCAGAAGUUGAGAACAGUAUUUAAGUCUUAGCUUAAACCAAUUCCUUAAUCCAGAUCACUAUUCUUUUCUCUACCUGUUUAUAGUGGCACAAGGCAGAGAACAGGCUGGAAAAAAGAAGCCAGGAAGAGAAGGGAUCAAACUGCCUCUUUUUUUGGCAAUCCUACUUCACAGCAGCAGCAUGGAUGGGGAAGGCAUGGUUCACCUCUACUCCUCCACUCACCUGAAAACCUAUGCAGUUUAUGCUUCAGUAUUCUGAUUUUAUAAAGAAUGGAAAGAUUAAUGAGUACUGCCUGAGGUUCAUUGGUAUUUCUGAUCUUUUUGAGAUCAGAAGAAGGAAUUCAGCUAGAAAAGCUCAAAAACCUUCCAAAAGAGAGUAACAAUGCCUGGCAGAUGACCAGCCCGUGCAGGGCCAUUCAAGAAUUCCUGAGCUCACAUCAGCCCCAGUGGAGUGCUGCUCAGACGGCUGCCUGUCACACUGAGAGCACAGCAAGCUCUUCUGUUCCAGCCAUAAAAACAGGAUAACUAUGGGGUUUUUUGAAACUGCAAGGAAAUCACCUUUACGAGAAGGUACAUCUUACUUUAUAUACAGCUCAAAAAGUUUUCUAUCCUGAGCUCUGAUGAAUGUACUUGCUGCAGGAAAGCAAGAAAAGGUCUGGCUGCCAAGUUCGCUUGCUUGUCAUGUAGCUGUUGGGGACAGACUCUGUAUAAGCUCAUAAACCAAGGAAAGCAUUUCAUCAAUGAAUAAAGAAUUUAAAGCCACAAAAAACCUGUGUGGCUGAGAAAAAAGAUGACAAAGUCCUGUGCCAGUAUAAUUAUGUCAGUAGGAGCAGAUUUUUUUAAACUGAAUAAGUUCUGCCAGUCAAACCCCAACUGUGGACACAGACACACAGCUGCAUUACUGUGGCUCUCUUGCCUUUUACUAUGGCAAGCAGCCUUGUGGAAAUAAUGCUCAUGCAAACUUUUUCAAUGCACACAUAUGGAUAUACAUACUUUGGUGAUUGCUUCAGUGUAGUUAAAAUGAUUCAAACUUUAUGUUUAAGGAAAUCUUGAAAGAUUGUUCUCUGAAGGAUUUGGAUAAGCUCACAGUUUAUUAAGGUUUGGAUUGAGACUUGGAUAAGGCGAGGCUGCAGUGAGGUUUUCUCCACCUACAGUUUCAUGUUAAGAGAGGUAUUCUGCUUAUAGCUGUUUGUGAUUUUUUAGUCAGGUGGUUUUAGUACCUAUAACAAUUCUGGGAGCAUGCUUACAGCAAAAUGAGCCAUCUUACCACAUAUUUUGCAUUGCUGUAAUUUAUUAUUUUUUAAAAAAAAAACAAUGUAGCUCUUUUAAUAUUAAUGAAUAUAAAUCAGACUGACAUGGACACAUAACUCAUGUAUAUAAAUUCAUAUAAAGUGACCUGGACAUAUAUGAAUCCUACCACUAUUGUCCCAUGUUUUGCUGGCUUACAUCUGUCUUUGCUUCUUCUGUUGAGAGCAUGUUAAAGGUGACCUAAAGAACAUGUCCUCAUUCCAGUGGUUCUCCAUUUCCAUGAGUUUUUUGGGGCUACAGUUGAACCUUUUAAACUGCUAAAACUGAGAAAACAGGAAAGAUACAAGUCCGGUGUGGGCUACACCAUCACUUGCACUUUCUUCUCAUGGCUCCACUGGUUGAGGACCCUUUUCCUGUUUAGUUUAAAUGCUUCCUUAGAGUUCACCAACAGUUCACAAGCCAUUGUGCUUGCUGAUUUUGUACAGUCCCAUCAGGAGACACUGGCUUUCCUCUCUGGGAAGGGCAGCAAUUUCCAUUUUUUUCAAAAGCUACCACAAUGUAUAGUCUUACACAUGCAAAAAUAAUAGAUGCAGAGAAGCAUCUCCAAAGCCCAUGCCAGCAGUAUUCCAAAGCAAACUAACUUUAGUGUAUUAAAGAAAACAAAACAACAAACAAACCAAAUCCAUCUGAUAGUAGCCCCAGUAUAUGAGGAUGUUGCAGAAGGACACACCUCAUUUUUGCCACUGACACACAGAGGAAACUCAAGCUUCAUCAGCAAGAUGUAGAACAGCUUUUGGAAACAACCUCAAUCCUAACCAAAAUGAUCUUCCCUUGGACAGACAAGAGUUCUUUUGGACAUGCCACAACUAUCCUGAAGUUAACUAAAGAUGCUUCUGGGUGAUAAUCUAGAAGCACAGUUGGGAAAGCUCUGCUUUGAGUCAGGUGCUGUUCCUCUUGUGUUCACAAACCUUUCAUACUUACACACCAAUGGUGGGUGCACUGACUUGACUCCUACUUACUACUCUCAUGGAAGCAGGAAUAUAACCUGUCUUGCUCCACCAGUCACCCCCCAUCCUUGGCUUUUUCCCACUCAGAGUGCAUUCCAAAACAUUAUCUAAUCGCCACACUCAAUAACCAAAAGAGACUUUUUUUCACUUUUGCUCAAGUAGCAGUCUCAUAUACAAAGAUUAAACUGUACAUGUAGAUCUCCUCCACAUUACCAACACUCUGUCCUGUAACAUCCCAUUUCUGCCUCCUACUACAAGCAGCCCUUCUGAAAGAAAAAGUUCAUGUAGAAAAGAAUUGAAAAUUCAGGAGACAAGUUAUAGAAAACAGGGGCUGUAGUGUAAAAGGCAAAAGGGGAAAAACCCAAGCCAAACCACCAUCAACAAAAAGAGCUGGAAUAAAUCAACUGAGACAACAAUUUGCGUACAACUCUGAGCAUUUACUAGAGGGUCAGGCUUGUAAAGUGAAAUAGAUAGCUCAUUUAAAAUCACAAACUUUCAGACAUUUCAGAUUGCCUAGAUCCUGUAAGACACUUGUAGUUGCAUAGACGAUAAAUUCUAUUAAUAUGUGUUGUAUCACUGUGCUAUUAAAUUUAUUCUCAUAUACUCAGGGCCUGACAGUCUGUAAAUACAGCUUAGGCAAUGAGCAUGUCUGAAUGCAAGACUUGUUACAAUCCCAGAGUGUCAUUUUGGAUCUGCCUGCACAGGUAUUGCUUGCCAGUCACAUUUCUGACAGCUAAAAGGGACACUUCCACAGACAGGAUCACAGCAAAUAUUCCUAGUGGUUCUGAACAGGCCACUUCUGUGCUUUAUAUUAAUGUACCACAUGUACAAGAGCAGCCUUUAGAGUUGAACAUACAAUGCCAAUGCUGCCCUUUGGGAUUUUCCCUUCUCUCAGAGCUUCUGGAGAGGGGAAGGAAUGCUCGUGACUGAACAGAUGAAGACUGCUUGCCUUGAACCUCAGUUUUCUGGUGUGACCUCUAAGAAAGCUUUUCACAUGGAUGAAAAGUUUGUCCUAACCUGUGCCUAUGAAGAUUCCCAUUGUUUGAUAAGGGAUGAGCUAACAUGUACCUAUUCUCUUCAUCAGAACCCAAUUUCAUUACCCAAGUGCAAACUGUCCCAAUACCUAUAGAAGCUCAAUGUCCAAAAGAGGUCUAUGUACUUGUUUUUGAAAUUGUGCAAUAAAUAUAGAUACAUACACACUCCCUCUUUUAUUUAUUU
Molecule: long non-coding RNA, 6407 nt
Organism: Passer domesticus (house sparrow)
Lineage: Eukaryota; Metazoa; Chordata; Aves; Passeriformes; Passeridae
Exons: 2
Source: RefSeq, a predicted model, not a curated record